AACCUUAUGGACCUGCGGGCGUAUACCUGCGGAAGGAUCAUUACAGAGUUCAUGCCCUCACGGGUAGAUCUCCCACCCUUGCGUAUUUAUACCUUUGUUGCUUUGGCAGGCCGCCUGGGCUCGCGCCUGGCCACCGGCUCCCGGGCUGGUGCGUGCCUGCCAGAGGAUCUCCAAACUCUAGUUAUCAGUGUUGUCUGAGUACUAUACAAUAGUUAAAACUUUUAACAAUGGAUCUCAGAU
Molecule: unclassified non-coding RNA, 240 nt
Filed under: soil metagenome
Description: partial contains 5.8S ribosomal RNA, internal transcribed spacer 2, and large subunit ribosomal RNA
Source: RNAcentral